AACUUUCGGCAACGGAUCUCUUGAAUUUUGUUUUGAUGAAGAACAUAGUGAAAUGUGAUAACUAAUGUGAAAUGCAGAGUAUUGUGAAUCAUCAAGUCUUUGAAUUAUCUUUCAGUCUCUUAAGGAGAUAAUUAUAUGUCAAUAUCAAUGUUUGGUAUGUCAGUGGAUUCUGACAAUGUGACUAUAUUAGUAAACAUAGUUGUAAAGCAUAGUUAAAUGCGUUAUGUGCAACCAGAUAUCUUUGGUUUGUGUAAUGGGUUUGAAAAACAAACGUGAGUGUUCAACAAUGAUGUGAAUGCAACGUUUGUACUACACAGUUCAAUCUGUUUAGAUUUGAUAUAUGAUGGACUACCCGCUGAACUUAAGCAUAUCAAUAAGCGGAGGCU
Molecule: unclassified non-coding RNA, 386 nt
Filed under: uncultured Basidiomycota
Lineage: Eukaryota; Fungi; Basidiomycota
Description: sequence contains ITS2
Rfam family: 5.8S ribosomal RNA (bases 1-147)
Source: RNAcentral